UGGCGGCGACGCCUAACACAUGCAAGUCGAACGAGCGAGAGAGAGCUUGCUUCUCGAGCAAGUGGCGAACGGGUGAGUAACGCGUGAGGAACCUGCCUCAAAGAGGGGGACAACAGUUGGAAACGACUGCUAAUACCGCAUAAGCCCACGGUGCCGCAUGGCACAGAGGGAAAAGGAGCAAUCCGCUUUGAGAUGGCCUCGCGUCCGAUUAGCUAGUUGGUGAGGUAAUGGCCCACCAAGGCAACGAUCGGUAGCCGGACUGAGAGGUUGAACGGCCACAUUGGGACUGAGACACGGCCCAGACUCCUACGGGAGGCAGCAGUGGGGAAUAUUGCACAAUGGGGGAAACCCUGAUGCAGCGACGCCGCGUGGAGGAAGAAGGUCUUCGGAUUGUAAACUCCUGUUGUUGGGGAAGAUAAUGACGGUACCCAACAAGGAAGUGACGGCUAACUACGUG
This 457-nucleotide ribosomal RNA is filed under the name uncultured bacterium. Its description in RNAcentral is "bacterial SSU rRNA". It matches the Rfam family "Bacterial small subunit ribosomal RNA", at positions 37 to 507 of the family's 1533-position model. The record is from RNAcentral.